GGGCAAUCAACUUACAUAUGACCAUACAACCAUUAACCUGGCACAUCUCCUUCCACCAAGAUUACCUCUAAAAUCCCCUUGGAUCUUGGUCUGCCUUAUAAUUUAAAGAGAAAAUAGGCUGAUCUUUUUUAUUUUUUUUUUAGCUGUAAAUCUUGACUCUUGCAUUUCAAGGCCAAUAAGGCACACUUACAAAUUGGGUCUAGUUACAACACAUUAAAAGAGAAAUUAGAGACCCAUAAAUCAAGCCUACAAUAAAACAAGCCCAAACCAUGGUAGCCCACCCCCAAUCUAAGAACCCUAAACAAAC
RNAcentral lists this unclassified non-coding RNA (307 nucleotides) under Hevea brasiliensis (rubber tree). The record is from RNAcentral. Lineage: Eukaryota; Viridiplantae; Streptophyta; Magnoliopsida; Malpighiales; Euphorbiaceae.